CUGCCUACAAACAGACAUGACACAGACACCCUGUAUUUUUCCUCACUACUACACAUCAGCCCUUGCGAGCACAACGCUAUGUUCAGCAGGGCGGACAGCAAAGCUAACAGUGUUCUUUUUUUUAACAUGGACUUCAUAUAUGCCUGAUUUUUAGGAGCUCGUCACAACGGGACAGCAUACAUUUCACAUUAACAAGGAUCACAAGCCUAUAUAGGACAAACUACACCUCUAAAAAACACAGGGGUCAAUAAGGUGUCCAGAAAUACCUACAGCAGCUGGAGCAAUAACACCAAGCCUUACAUUAGCUGAUAGUCUGUGGAACCCAGGACGACCAGAUACCUGCAUCUCUACCAGUUUCUGUGCACUCCAGCCUCUUCUGAGAGGGUGUUUUUUUUUUUUUUUUUUAAGGCAGGAGAAGUUACUCCAUGAAAACAAGCAGAC
Long non-coding RNA from Oreochromis aureus, 441 nucleotides. The record is from Ensembl. NCBI's taxonomy places the organism in Eukaryota, Metazoa, Chordata, Actinopteri, Cichliformes, Cichlidae.